Molecule: ribosomal RNA, 406 nt
Filed under: uncultured bacterium
Lineage: Bacteria
Description: partial 16S ribosomal RNA
Rfam family: Bacterial small subunit ribosomal RNA
Source: RNAcentral
AUUGAACGCUGGCGGCAGGCCUAACACAUGCAAGUCGAGCGAGCGGCGGACGGGUGAGUAAUGUAUGGGGAUCUGCCUGAUGGAGGGGGAUAACUACUGGAAACGGUAGCUAAUACCGCAUACCAUCAGAUGAACCCAUAUGGGAUUCGCUAGUAGGUGAGGUAACGGCUUACCUAGGCCACGAUCCCUAGCGGGUCUGAGAGGAUGAUCAGCCACACUGGGAAUGAGACACGGCCCAGACGCCUACGGGAGGCAGCAGUGGGGGAUAUUGCACAAUGGGCGAAAGCCUGAUGCAGCGACGCCGCGUGGGGGAAGAAGGCCUUAGGGUUGUAAAGUACUUUCAGUCGGGAGGCGUUACCGACAGAAGAAGCACCGGCUAACUCCGUGCCAGCAGCCGCGGUAAUAC